RNAcentral lists this unclassified non-coding RNA (300 nucleotides) under Laccaria sp. Its description in RNAcentral is "partial contains small subunit ribosomal RNA and internal transcribed spacer 1". The stretch from base 1 to 46 matches the Rfam family "Eukaryotic small subunit ribosomal RNA", at positions 1786 to 1831 of the family's 1831-position model. Lineage: Eukaryota; Fungi; Basidiomycota; Agaricomycetes; Agaricales; Hydnangiaceae. The record is from RNAcentral.
AAGUCGUAACAAGGUUUCCGUAGGUGAACCUGCGGAAGGAUCAUUAUUGAAUAAACCUGAUGUGACUGUUAGCUGGCUUUUCGAAGCAUGUGCUCGUCCGUCAUCUUUAAUCUCUCCACCUGUGCACAUUUUGUAGUCUUUGGAUACCUCUCGAGGCAACUCGGAUAUUAGGAUCGCCGUGCUGUACAAGUCGGCUUUUCUUUCAUUUCCAAGACUAUGUUUUUAUAUACCCCAAAGUAUGUUUAAAGAAUGUCAUCAAUGGGAACUUGUUUCCUAUAAAAUUAUACAACUUUCAGCAAC